Molecule: long non-coding RNA, 287 nt
Organism: Engraulis encrasicolus (European anchovy)
Lineage: Eukaryota; Metazoa; Chordata; Actinopteri; Clupeiformes; Engraulidae
Exons: 2
Source: RefSeq, a predicted model, not a curated record
AUUAUAUACCAGAAGUCAGUUCUCCAUUCAUUUGGAAGGCUCCGCGAGGAAGAAGGCGUCGGCAUGCGCCCUACCCGUGUAGUAAACUGAAGGGUAAAAAGGCCUGGGUGGUGUUCUUUGUGAUCCUGUCCAUCUUGCUGGUGUCAACACUGAUCAUCUUGCUCUGGAUUCUUUUGAUGUGAGACUGUCUUCAUUGCCAAUGGGCUUUUGGGUGUUCAAAGAUGAGGUUUUAAUGUUUAAGUAAGAAUGAUGCCUGGGAAUAAAUCACUUGUGCACUUGUCUCUGAA